Non-coding RNA from Pangasius djambal, 73 nucleotides. The record is from the annotation of a GenBank genome assembly. Lineage: Eukaryota; Metazoa; Chordata; Actinopteri; Siluriformes; Pangasiidae.
UAGAGAGUGGUCUAGUGGUUAGAGAGUCGGACUCGUAACCCGAAAGUCGUGGGUUUGAGUCUCAGGUCUGGAA